UACGGGGGGAGCAAGCGUUGUUCGGAUUUACUGGGAGGAAAGGGCGCGUAGGCGGCCAGUGCAAGUCAGUUGUGAAAUCUCCGAGCUUAACUCGGAAAGGUCAACUGAUACUGCUCGGCUAGAGUGCGGAAGGGGCAACUGGAAUUCUUGGUGUAGCGGUGAAAUGCGUAGAUAUCGAGAGGAACACCUGCGGCGAAGGCGGGUUGCUGGGCUGACACUGACGCUGAGGCGCGAAAGCCAGGGGAGCGAACGGG
RNAcentral lists this ribosomal RNA (254 nucleotides) under uncultured bacterium. RNAcentral's name for it is "partial 16S ribosomal RNA". It matches the Rfam family "Bacterial small subunit ribosomal RNA", at positions 524 to 776 of the family's 1533-position model. The record is from RNAcentral.